Non-coding RNA from Pelobates cultripes (western spadefoot toad), 287 nucleotides. The record is from the annotation of a GenBank genome assembly. Lineage: Eukaryota; Metazoa; Chordata; Amphibia; Anura; Pelobatidae.
CUGCAUUCACUACACUAACACACACACUCUGCAUCCGCUACACACUAACACAAUCUCUGCAUUCACUACACUAACACACACUCUGCAUCCGCUACACACUAACACACUCUCUGCAUUCACUACACUAACACACACUCUGCAUCCACUACACACUAACACACUCUCUGCAUUCACUACACAUUAACACACUCUGCAUUCACUACACUAACACACACACUCUGCAUCCGCUACACACUAACACAAUCUCUGCAUUCACUACACUAACACACACUCUGCAUCCGCUACAC